Molecule: ribosomal RNA, 438 nt
Filed under: uncultured bacterium
Lineage: Bacteria
Description: partial 16S ribosomal RNA
Rfam family: Bacterial small subunit ribosomal RNA
Source: RNAcentral
CUACGGGGGCUGCAGUGGGGAAUAUUGCACAAUGGAGGAAACUCUGAUGCAGCAACGCCGCGUGGAGGAUGACACUUUUCGGAGCGUAAACUCCUUUUAUAUAGGAAGAAGAUGACGGUACUAUAUGAAUAAGCGCCGGCUAACUCCGUGCCAGCAGCCGCGGUAAUACGGAGGGCGCAAGCGUUACUCGGAAUCACUGGGCGUAAAGAGCGGUGAGGCGGAUUAAAAAGUCAGAAGUGAAAUCCUAUAGCUUAACUAUAGAACUGCUUCUGAAACUCUUAAUCUAGAAUAUGGGAGAGGUAGAUGGAAUUUCUGGUGUAGGGGUAACAUCCGUAGAGAUCAGAAGGAAUACCGAUUGCGAAGGCGAUCUACUAGAACAUUAUUGACGCUGAGGCGCGAAAGCGUGGGGAGCAAACAGGAUUAGAUACCCUAGUAGUC